This 401-nucleotide ribosomal RNA is filed under the name uncultured Propionibacterium sp. RNAcentral describes it as "bacterial SSU rRNA". It matches the Rfam family "Bacterial small subunit ribosomal RNA", at positions 958 to 1357 of the family's 1533-position model. Lineage: Bacteria; Bacillati; Actinomycetota; Actinomycetes; Propionibacteriales; Propionibacteriaceae. The record is from RNAcentral.
AACGCGAAGAACCUUACCUGGGUUUGACAUGGAUCGGGAGUGCUCAGAGAUGGGUGUGCCUCUUUUGGGGUCGGUUCACAGGUGGUGCAUGGCUGUCGUCAGCUCGUGUCGUGAGAUGUUGGGUUAAGUCCCGCAACGAGCGCAACCCUUGUUCACUGUUGCCAGCACGUUAUGGUGGGGACUCAGUGGAGACCGCCGGGGUCAACUCGGAGGAAGGUGGGGAUGACGUCAAGUCAUCAUGCCCCUUAUGUCCAGGGCUUCACGCAUGCUACAAUGGCUGGUACAGAGAGUGGCGAGCCUGUGAGGGUGAGCGAAUCUCGGAAAGCCGGUCUCAGUUCGGAUUGGGGUCUGCAACUCGACCUCAUGAAGUCGGAGUCGCUAGUAAUCGCAGAUCAGCACGC